This 780-nucleotide ribosomal RNA is filed under the name Staphylococcus aureus. RNAcentral describes it as "partial 23S ribosomal RNA". It matches the Rfam family "Bacterial large subunit ribosomal RNA", at positions 566 to 1353 of the family's 2925-position model. The record is from RNAcentral. Lineage: Bacteria; Bacillati; Bacillota; Bacilli; Caryophanales; Staphylococcaceae.
ACAAGUAGUCAGAGCCCGUUAAUGGGUGAUGGCGUGCCUUUUGUAGAAUGAACCGGCGAGUUACGAUUUGAUGCAAGGUUAAGCAGUAAAUGUGGAGCCGUAGCGAAAGCGAGUCUGAAUAGGGCGUUUAGUAUUUGGUCGUAGACCCGAAACCAGGUGAUCUACCCUUGGUCAGGUUGAAGUUCAGGUAACACUGAAUGGAGGACCGAACCGACUUACGUUGAAAAGUGAGCGGAUGAACUGAGGGUAGCGGAGAAAUUCCAAUCGAACCUGGAGAUAGCUGGUUCUCUCCGAAAUAGCUUUAGGGCUAGCCUCAAGUGAUGAUUAUUGGAGGUAGAGCACUGUUUGGACGAGGGGCCCCUCUCGGGUUACCGAAUUCAGACAAACUCCGAAUGCCAAUUAAUUUAACUUGGGAGUCAGAACAUGGGUGAUAAGGUCCGUGUUCGAAAGGGAAACAGCCCAGACCACCAGCUAAGGUCCCAAAAUAUAUGUUAAGUGGAAAAGGAUGUGGCGUUGCCCAGACAACUAGGAUGUUGGCUUAGAAGCAGCCAUCAUUUAAAGAGUGCGUAAUAGCUCACUAGUCGAGUGACACUGCGCCGAAAAUGUACCGGGGCUAAACAUAUUACCGAAGCUGUGGAUUGUCCUUUGGACAAUGGUAGGAGAGCGUUCUAAGGGCGUUGAAGCAUGAUCGUAAGGACAUGUGGAGCGCUUAGAAGUGAGAAUGCCGGUGUGAGUAGCGAAAGACGGGUGAGAAUCCCGUCCACCGAUUGACUAAGGUUU